RNAcentral lists this long non-coding RNA (178 nucleotides) under Dermacentor andersoni. RNAcentral describes it as "uncharacterized LOC126524443". The record is from RNAcentral. Lineage: Eukaryota; Metazoa; Arthropoda; Arachnida; Ixodida; Ixodidae.
GGGACAACCGAGGACGUGCAUUUCUCAGCACCCAGUCAACUGCCAAAAGUGACUCAAACACAGGCCACCAGUGGAACUCGGCUGUACCACUGCAGUGCUGUGGAAAUUGCCUUCACCAGCGGCUUUGCAACAGCUGUUUCGCAGCAUGUCGGAGACAAUGCCUACGAAAUUAUUGGCC